RNAcentral lists this transfer RNA (71 nucleotides) under Pseudopedobacter saltans DSM 12145. Its description in RNAcentral is "tRNA-Cys (GCA) (tRNA-Cys-GCA-2-1)". It matches the Rfam family "tRNA". Rfam says of the family: Transfer RNA (tRNA) molecules are approximately 80 nucleotides in length. The record is from Rfam by way of RNAcentral. Lineage: Bacteria; Pseudomonadati; Bacteroidota; Sphingobacteriia; Sphingobacteriales; Sphingobacteriaceae.
AGCCGGGUGGUCGAGUGGUUAGGCCGAGAUCUGCAAAAUCUUUUACGAUGGUUCGAUUCCAUCCCCGGCGU